This 457-nucleotide ribosomal RNA is filed under the name Staphylococcus aureus. RNAcentral describes it as "partial 23S ribosomal RNA". It matches the Rfam family "Bacterial large subunit ribosomal RNA", at positions 10 to 460 of the family's 2925-position model. The record is from RNAcentral. Lineage: Bacteria; Bacillati; Bacillota; Bacilli; Caryophanales; Staphylococcaceae.
AUUAAGGGCGCACGGUGGAUGCCUUGGCACUAGAAGCCGAUGAAGGACGUUACUAACGACGAUAUGCUUUGGGGAGCUGUAAGUAAGCUUUGAUCCAGAGAUUUCCGAAUGGGGAAACCCAGCAUGAGUUAUGUCAUGUUAUCGAUAUGUGAAUACAUAGCAUAUCAGAAGGCACACCCGGAGAACUGAAACAUCUUAGUACCCGGAGGAAGAGAAAGAAAAUUCGAUCCCCUUAGUAGCGGCGAGCGAAACGGGAAGAGCCCAAACCAACAAGCUUGCUUGUUGGGGUUGUAGGACACUCUAUACGGAGUUACAAAGGACGACAUUAGACGAAUCAUCUGGAAAGAUGAAUCAAAGAAGGUAAUAAUCCUGUAGUCGAAAAUGUUGUCUCUCUUGAGUGGAUCCUGAGUACGACGGAGCACGUGAAAUUCCGUCGGAAUCUGGGAGGACCAUCUCC